GAUGAAGAACGUAGCGAAAUGCGAUAAGUAAUGUGAAUUGCAGAAUUCAGUGAAUCAUCGAAUCUUUGAACGCACAUUGCGCCCGCCAGUAUUCUGGCGGGCAUGCCUGUCUGAGCGUCAUUUCAACCCUCAUGCCCCUAGGGCGUGGUGUUGGGGAUCGGCCAAAGCCCGCGAGGGACGGCCGGCCCCUAAAUCUAGUGGCGGACCCGUCGUGGCCUCCUCUGCGAAGUAGUGAUAUUCCGCAUCGGAGAGCGACAAGCCCCUGCCGUUAAACCCCCAACUUUCCAAGGUUGACCUCAGAUCAGGUAGGAAUACCCGCUGAACUUAAGCAUAUCAAUAAGCGGAGGA
RNAcentral lists this unclassified non-coding RNA (348 nucleotides) under soil metagenome. Its description in RNAcentral is "partial contains 5.8S ribosomal RNA, internal transcribed spacer 2, and large subunit ribosomal RNA". The stretch from base 1 to 120 matches the Rfam family "5.8S ribosomal RNA", at positions 35 to 154 of the family's 154-position model. The record is from RNAcentral.